UACCCUCCAGCACGAAGCCACUUGUUAGGAGUAACAUUCUUUAUAGGUACUUACCUACUGGAAUACAAGUUAUCUUCGUUCGAGAUGGUUCGAGUAUAAUAUACUUUUUCAUAAGAAUAUUUCUCAUUGUUGUAAAAAAAUAGUUGAAAAUUUGAUAAUAAUUGAGAAUUUCGCAUUCGGAAAGUUCAACACUACUUGAGUAUAAAAGUUUAAUUAUUGGUGUAUUUUAGUGCUGUCAUGAUGUUAAUUCUAUUAGUUUUUGCAUUCUUCUUAAUCAAUGAAAAUGUUAUUGCUGCUCCUGCUAAUAGUAGUAUUUCCACAGAAAAUGAAUCUUUUUUGGUCAUAGUUUUCAACACAUGCAGUCAAGACCACCCGUGUUUUGUUUCCUAUAAAAUCAGUUAUGGGAAUGUCGCGUAUAAAUCAUCAAUCUUGGGUUCUGCAGAGAAAAGUUAUUUUCCUUAUUUUCCUUAUGCGAACACUACCAUUGGUUUAGAUGUCACAGUAUUUAAACACAUUGAUGUACAUGAUCGUGGAACUGUUAUCACUACAAAAAAGUUUGGAGUUGGAGACAACGAGGGUCGUUGUUUCGCUGUGAGAGGAAAUGAUUAUUCGAUUCCGACAGUAUCAAAGUGUUCAUUUGAUGAAGAACUUGAAGCAAGAAAUUCAAGCCGAAUAUUGAGAAUAAGGAACAAAUCUUCUCCUCCCUUCGUAUUGAAUGUGGCCUUAAGGCAUGGAAACAAGACUAAGGAACAAAAAAAAAUUUUUGCCUCACAAAAGGCCGACUUCACUUUUGUAGCUGGGACUACAAAAGAUGGAGUAGUCAAUUAUUCAAUAUACAAGUUGAAGAAUGAAACAUCGGCGACAUGGGAGCCCAUUCAACAGUCCAUUCCACUUAGGUGGAUCUUUGAUGAAUGCUUAAAGGUGACUGGUAAUUAUGAAAACCCGCUCAUAUCACCCACUGAAUGUGUGAAGGGAUGAAGAGCCUUAAAAUGAAACGCCAGCUUUUGGCUUUUAGCAUUGAAAUCCCAAAAUUAAAAAUUUUGGCUUUAGUUUUCGGCUAUCUCGAUUUUUACGGCUUGCUUUAGCCAAACUUUCAGUUUCCAAUGGCUUUCCCUUAUAUUUUCAAAUUAACAUCUUUCACCCUAUAUUUCAUUAAGCUUUAGCUUUAAACUUUUGGCUUCGAGCUUUUGACUUUAAACUUUCAGCUGAUACAUCAUCAAUUUAUACAAAAAAAGGAAAUUAAAAAUCAGUUCAGGUGCAUUGAUUUCAUAAUGUGAUAGUGGAAUAACAUUCAUUGCUAGAAUUAUUUUCCUUUUUUUUUUCAUUUCAUUAAAUCGCAUUAAAAUAAAAUUGAACAGAAUUUUUUUCAUUUUUUUUUUGUUUCUUCUGAAUUUAGAGAAUUCAAUUCUGCAAAAAAACUUUUGAAAAGGCUAAAAAAUCAAACUUUUGGCUAGCUUUUGGUUUGGAAAAAACUAAACUUGCAAACUUUUAGCUUUUGGCUUGGUGCGAAAAUCUGCUCAGCUUUCAGCUUUCGGCUUUAAGAUAUACUAUAGGUAUCAGCUAGCUUUUCAUCCCUGGUUGUGUGUUACACGCCAUCAACAACAUAGGUCAAUAUAAUAUAAAUACUGAAAUAUAAAUUGGUAGCCCAUAACUUUAUCCCUAAUAAAACUUUUUUAUACUGAA
This is a long non-coding RNA of Planococcus citri (citrus mealybug), 1683 nucleotides long. RefSeq lists it as uncharacterized. The transcript is spliced from 2 exons. NCBI's taxonomy places the organism in Eukaryota, Metazoa, Arthropoda, Insecta, Hemiptera, Pseudococcidae. The record is from RefSeq and is a predicted model, not a curated record.